UACGUAGGGUGCGAGCGUUGUCCGGAAUUAUUGGGCGUAAAGAGCUCGUAGGCGGUGUGUCACGUCGGCCGUGAAAACCUGCAGCUUAACUGUGGGCGUGCGGUCGAUACGGGCAUCACUGGAGUUCGGCAGGGGAGACUGGAAUUCCUGGUGUAGCGGUGAAAUGCGCAGAUAUCAGGAGGAACACCGAUGGCGAAGGCAGGUCUCUGGGCUGACACUGACGCUCAUGCACGAAAGCGUGGGGAGCAAACAGG
RNAcentral lists this ribosomal RNA (254 nucleotides) under uncultured bacterium. RNAcentral describes it as "partial 16S ribosomal RNA". It matches the Rfam family "Bacterial small subunit ribosomal RNA", at positions 524 to 776 of the family's 1533-position model. The record is from RNAcentral.